UACGAAGGGGGCUAGCGUUGUUCGGAAUCACUGGGCGUAAAGGGCGCGUAGGCGGCCAUAUAAGUCGGGGGUGAAAGCCUGUGGCUCAACCACAGAAUUGCCUUCGGUACUGUAUGGCUCGAGACCGGAAGAGGUAAGUGGAACUGCGAGUGUAGAGGUGAAAUUCGUAGAUAUUCGGUAGAACACCAGUGGCGAAGGCGACUCACUGGCCCGUUACUGACGCUGAGGCGCGAAAGCGUGGGGAGCAAACAGG
This 253-nucleotide ribosomal RNA is filed under the name uncultured bacterium. RNAcentral's name for it is "partial 16S ribosomal RNA". It matches the Rfam family "Bacterial small subunit ribosomal RNA", at positions 524 to 776 of the family's 1533-position model. The record is from RNAcentral.